Molecule: ribosomal RNA, 253 nt
Filed under: uncultured bacterium
Lineage: Bacteria
Description: partial 16S ribosomal RNA
Rfam family: Bacterial small subunit ribosomal RNA
Source: RNAcentral
UACGAAGGGAGCUAGCGUUGUUCGGAAUUACUGGGCGUAAAGGGCGCGUAGGCGGUUCGGUAAGUCCUGUGUGAAAUCCCUCGGCUCAACUGAGGAACUGCACGGGAGACUGCCGGGCUUGAGUUCGGGAGAGGGAAGCGGAAUUCCGGGUGUAGCGGUGAAAUGCGUAGAUAUCCGGAGGAACACCGGUGGCGAAGGCGGCUUCCUGGACCGACACUGACGCUGAGGCGCGAAAGCUAGGGGAGCAAACGGG